Molecule: ribosomal RNA, 1097 nt
Filed under: uncultured organism
Description: bacterial SSU rRNA
Rfam family: Bacterial small subunit ribosomal RNA
Source: RNAcentral
GGGUGAGGAAUAGAUAGGAAUGUACCUGAAUCUCCGGGAUAGCGUCCUGAAAGGGGCAGUAAUACCGGAUAAUGUAGCUUGCUACCAAAGAUUUAUCGGUUUCAGAGCAGCCUAUCUCCUAUCAGCUUGUUGGUGAGGUAAUGGCUUACCAAGGCGACGACGGGUAGCGGGACUGAGAGGUUGACCCGCCACAUCGGGACUGAGACACUGCCCGGACCUCCACGGAGGGCUGCAGUAACGAAUAUUGGGCAAUGGGCGAAAGCCUGACCCAGCAAUGCCGCGUGUAGGAUGAAGCUUUUCGGAGUGUAAACUAUUGUCAGGUCUUAGAAAGUCUUCGGAUUGAUCAGGACCAGAGGAAGCAACGGCUAACUUCGUGCCAGCAGCCGCGGUAAUACGAAGGUUGCAAGCGUUAUUCGGAAUCACUGGGCUUAAAGGGCACGCAGGCGGAACAGCAAGUGUCAUGUGAAAUCCCCCGGCUUAACCGGGGAAUUGCUUGGCAAACUGUUAUUCUUGAGGCAAGUAAGAGUGCAUGGAACUCUUGGUGGAGCGGUGGAAUGCGUAGAUAUCAAGAGGAACGCCAGUGGAGAAGUCGGUGCACUGGGCUUGUCCUGACGCUGAGGUGCGAAAGCGUGGGGAGCAAACAGGAUUAGAUACCCUGGUAGUGUCACGCCGUAAACGAUGUCAAUUAGAUCGUGGGAGUUUCUGACACAUUCGCGAUCGGAGCAAAAGUGUUAAGUUGACCGCCUGGGAAGUACGGCUGCAAGGCUAAAACUCAAAUGAAUUGACGGGGGCUCACUCAAGCGGUGGAGCAUGUGGAUUAAUUCGAAGCAACGCGCAGAUCCUUACCUGGGUUUGACAUGUUUGGAUGCUCAUCUGGAAACAGAGUAGGCUGCCCUUCGGGGUGAAACUUACACAGGUGCUGCAUGGCGGUCGUCAGCUCGUGUCGUGAGAUGUCGGGUUAAGUCCUUUAACGAGCGAAACCCUUGCCGUUAGUUGCCAGCGAGUAAUGUCGGGGACUCUAGCGGGACUGCCGGUGUUAAACCGGAGGAAGGUGGGGAUGACGUCAAGUCCUCAUGGCCUUUAUGCCCAGGGCUUCA